AGAAUUCAUUUCUCAACUUCAGAGAAGAGAGAAAAUGGCUGCUGUCAAAAAGAGAUCUCAAUGGAGAAAUGGGAUCGAUGGGAAUUCAAAAAGAACUCAGAGAAUGAAGUUUUUGGCAGAGAUUUUGAGGUUGUUACUGAGAAGACAGAUUUGGAAGAAAUGGUUAGAUUUAUUGAAAAACUGGAUGUUGUUGUGUUAAUGAAGUUAGGGUUGGUCGUCACAUUCAAAAUCGAGAAGAAAUUAAUGGAAGAUGGUGUUGGUUCGAAAUGGAAUUGGGUCAAUUUUAUGCCUGAAAUUCAGUCGAGAGAAGUUGUUGUUGCUGGAUGUGUGAGGUUUUGAAUAGGGUGUUGCUGCUGAUACUUGAGUAAUAAAUGGAUGAGAAACUGAACUAUUUGGUGUUUUUGAUUGUUAUGGUUGAAUGGGUUUACUGUGAAUUCAAAUUGCAGGGAGAAUUGAAGCAUGGAAGCGGCUAAGAAUAUCACAACAUACUCAUCUCCUACACCACCAGAAUUCUGUACACAGUAUGUUUGAUAUAAGGCCUCAGUGAACUUUCCUUCACUACUUCAAGUUCUUUGAAGGGUUGUUGCUGCAAUUGGUUAGAUUGAGAUGGGUUCCGAAAUGUUGGUACGAAUCAGUGGGGGUUCUGGGUUGCUGCUGGACCAAGAACUUUAGAUAAAAAUAAGACCGUUGUGAGGCUAUGAAAAGAGAGUAUGGAGAUGGUAGAGUUUGUGUUAGUCUGGAGUUAUGCCGCUGGUCGAAACACAGGGAACAAAUGAGCAUUACUGCCAUUGUAAUCAAGGAUCGAGAGUUUCAUGCGAAGCCAACAAAAGGAAGGAAUGUAAGUGGUUAAUUUGGUGGAUAUCACAGGGAAGUGAACUAGAUUUGUAUGUGCAGCUGGUGGUUCAAGACUUACGGAUCGAUAUCGAAUCUGUGAAUGAACUGUGGACUACAAAGAAGAUGGGAUGGAGAUGAUUUGAGUGCUUACAGGGAAAGCUGAGAGGAACAAGGCAGUGGUGAUGUUGUCGAUGCUUUGAGCUACAAGUAAUGAUGAUGUUGUAGAGGUAAUAGAUGGAAGAGGUGGUAAUGCUGUUAUAUAGGGAGAGAAUGCUGAUCGCAACUGAAGUUAAUGUUGGUCAUGUUGAAAGCAGUUGGUGUUGGUGAUGAAAUUGAUGAAAUUGGUGGUGGUUGUGUGUGCUGUUGUGACCUAAGCUGGACUGGAGAUUGCAGAAUGGCAUGGAUUGCAUUUCAGAGGGACUUGGUGUUGCUGUUGUUACAUAAAAGCUUAAGGAAGCGGCGGACAAGACUAAGAUGGAGUAACUGUGUCAGGUGGUGAUUGUUAUGUCUAGAAAUGUUGUUGUGCAAUGAUGGAUGGAACUGGAAUUGCAGGUUAUAGUGCCUGUUAGUGAAUGGCUUAAGCUGAGCAUGCGAUGGAGUUGAUGUUGCAGAAUGGUUCGAGAUUGGUGGCAUUUUGUUGCAGUGAAGCCAAGGUGAUGAUGGAUGAAUUGAUGGGACCGAAAUCAGUUUUGAACUGAAGCUGUUGUGAAUAGUUAAGCAGAGGAGAAGCUGAAGCUUGGAAUUGUAGAGGUGCUGCUGCAAUGGUGUCAGUAACAAUGAAUUACAGGGAAGGUGGUGAUGAGUUUAAGCUGGUGAAUGUGAAUGAUAACAGUUGCAUGAAAUGGAGCCACGGAGAGGGGAACUGACUACCAGUUACUACACACACAAGAGGAAUGGUUGUAUUGAGAUUGCAGGCUAAGUAGCUGGUGCAGCUGGAGUUGGAGAAUGUCAUUGCAGGUGGAAGAAAUGAAGAUGUCACAAGAUUUGCAGUAUGAAGGCCAUCAUGGCUGGAUGGAGCUAUGAAGCACAAUCACUGUGCAUCAUAACCCAGGCCAGUGCAAUGGCUUAUGCCAUGGCAACUCAAUCAAGUCAUCCCAGUUAGCUCACCUGAAUAGCUGACUCGGAUCUGACUCAUGAUCUGCUGAGUUAGUAAAUUGACUCAGUCACUUUGACUGAGUUGACUCGACGACCUGACCCGUUUGACCGGUGACCGGGUGGACUUUGCCGGUCACCUGAGAUACUUCUUCGACCACUUUUCCCGCCAACUUCCGGCGGUGAACCCAAUUUUCCGGCGACAUAUUUUUGAGAUAAUUUCUACAUGGGUUUUUCUCACAUAUGGGUUUGGUGGAUUUUUAUCUAAUGGAAUUUGAAAAUUUGGACCUAAUUUUGGAACAAGAUGAGCUAUAAAAGAGAAGACUUCUGCAACUUUUAGUAUGACGUAUUCUACUUGGAGCUAAGGAGAGAGCCACUUUUGUUUACGCUACUAGGGUUCGCUUUGCUUUCAUAUUCUUUAUUUGAUUAUUGAUUAUGAUGAACUCCAUAGCUAUGAGUAGCUAAAUCUUAUAUUAUUGGUUAAGGAUGUAGUCCUAUAUCUACAACUUGUGUGCUUGAUUAAUGCAUUA
Papaver somniferum (opium poppy) is the source of this 2456-nucleotide long non-coding RNA. RefSeq lists it as uncharacterized. The transcript is spliced from 2 exons. The record is from RefSeq and is a predicted model, not a curated record. NCBI's taxonomy places the organism in Eukaryota, Viridiplantae, Streptophyta, Magnoliopsida, Ranunculales, Papaveraceae.